This is a long non-coding RNA of Oreochromis aureus, 1020 nucleotides long. The record is from Ensembl. Lineage: Eukaryota; Metazoa; Chordata; Actinopteri; Cichliformes; Cichlidae.
CUUGCAAUCCUAAAGGCAGAGGAAAUCAAAAAUGACAGCAGGGGGUGACUUUCCCUUGCAGGCCCAUCUUCUCCAGAAUUGUCCUGAUCACACACAACAAAUAAGAGAAGAAAGGACACCAUGGCAACUAUGUUAAUCCCUAAGCCCAAAGGUUUUCACAGCAGAACACCAGAGGAACACCGUCUGGACAUCACAGGUUCUGUACAGCAGCGGUCCGUGAGUCGUUUGGUACCGGGCCACGAGAGUGAAAUUUAUGGUUUUCAGGGUUUUUAUCGUUAACUCGGUUUCCCUGAGUCUUUCCCUUGUUGUAGUUGUGUGUCUUAUUUUGAAAGAAAUAUUUACACGUUACCAUAGCGACCAGAGAGCAUUGAGGAGGAUGUUACUGUCAAUAUUGGCGCAUUUUCAGGAGGACACUGCUAAUAAAGUUACACAAUUACACAGUACAUUCACGUUUAUUAUUAUAUUUACAAAAUACCACAGUUUUUGUCUUGGUCGGAUCAUUUUAUGUGGUCGUAUUCAUCCGCGAUACCUUAAAGGCUCCGUGUCUGACAUAAACCGGUCUGUGGCGCAAAAAAGGUUGGGGACCGCUGCUGUACAGCAUGAGGGUUAAUAGGACUGUACUCAUAUGAAUAUGAUGCGUAAAUUGAUUUAUUCUUGUACAUCCACGCCGUAGCGGCCCAUUUCUUCACCCCAGUGAAGAAGUGAUCGUUUUCUCCUCGUUGUAAUAAAUUAAGCCUUUUGGUCUUUGUUCCCCACAACAUAUCACCAAUUCGAAAAAAUCAAAAUUAGCUGUAUGUAAGCGGCAAUACAUGAAAAAUCUCGGGACCCCCGAUACAAGCUGGUUUAUGGUUAUUUUAAAGAAAAGAAACAUGUCUAUGCAGAUGCCCAAAGCUUAUCAAAAUGACCGAUAUAACAAUUUAAGUUUUGUACAACCAGAUUUUCAUAUACUUACAUUUGAAAGUGUUUUCCUCUCCUGCUUCGACCACCAUCGUUAUCAGAAACAAAUCUCCUCUAUGACCC